Non-coding RNA from Caretta caretta (loggerhead turtle), 4282 nucleotides. The record is from RefSeq and is a predicted model, not a curated record. Lineage: Eukaryota; Metazoa; Chordata; Testudines; Cheloniidae.
CGCGCCCCCCGCCCGCGCACGGCUGCGGGGAGGGGGCCGUGCCCGGAGCUGCUCCCAGCCUCGCCAGGGCCUCGAGCUCCCCCGGGCCCGGGGGGCGGGUCGCUGGGGCCCGCCGGGGGAGAGGGGCUGCGGGCCCCCCCCGGCGGAGCAGGCAGGCUCACCCGUCUCCAGCAGGGGUACCCACGGGAUACCCAGAGGUCUUCCAGGGGUUACAUCAACUCACCUGGUAUUUGCUGGGUUUUACAACCUGUCCAGUGACAUGAAAAGUACCAGCCGCAGUCAGUACUAACUAAACCUCCAUGCAGACAGGGACUUGUUGGUACUGCUCUGUAGUCCAAACCCUGAAAUAUUGCAGCGGUCAUCGACUUAAAUACUGGGUCAGAGUUUGUGAAAACUAGUCCCCACACACUGUUCAGAAGAAGAUGCAGCAUUGCAAGGUGGAAUCUGUCAUUUCUGUGGGCUGCAGCUCAGCAUUGAAGAGGUCUGUGCACCACACUUCAGUUACCCAGAUGAAUUUAACCCUGUAACAUCUGUGUAAGUCUGAGAUCCAGCCAAAGCAAGAGCCUCCUGUUAAAGCUGGAGCAGGUUCCUAUUCACAGCCUGCAGCCUGUGGGGAAAAACUAUCUAUAAGAGACAGAUUCAGAAACUAGACACCUGUGUCAUGCCGGGCUAUGAAGAGACGGGAGCAGCCCUGUCCCCAUCCCCACUCUGUGCCGCUGCUGCUUUGCUUCCAGGAUUUUAAGGUUUUGAUUAACAGCAACCAUUCAGACCGCGUUCCACACUCUGCCGUGUCCUGCUGCAGUCUCACAUGCCACGGUUCCUGAGAGGGCUCUGGACUCUGCUGCUGUCUCCGCUCGGCGCAGGUGACUUUAUUGAACGCUGAGUGCAUCAUCAACGUCUAGCCAAGAAGAGCCUCUUGUGUAGCGGAGCUGGUGCGCUGACAAUGCUCAGGCUAUGGAGACAGAGGCAGGGAGGUGAGUGGGCCGAAUGGGGGAGACAAUUGUAAAUCUAGGAGAAAGCACCCACCCUAACAACACUUAGCACGCCUGUGACAGUCCAAGCGCUUGUAGAGAUUCAGAGAUUCCAAGGCCAGAAGGGACCCUUGCGAUCAUCCUGUCUGAUCUGCUGCAUAGCACGGGCCAGAGACCUGCCCCCACAAUAAUUCCUGGAGCAGAGCUGUUAGAAAAUUCUCCUGUCUUGAUUUAAACAUUGCCAGGGAUGGAGAAUCCACCGUGACCCUUCGGAAAUUGUUCCAACCGUUAAUUACUCUCACUCUUAAACAGAUGCACCUUAUUUCUGAAUUGUCUAGCUUCAACUUCCAGCCAUUGCUUGGGUUAGACCUUCCUCUGCUAGACUGAAGAGCCUAUUAUCAAAUAUUUGUUCCCUGUGUAGAUAUUUGUAGACUGUGAUCAAGUCACCCCUUAACCUUCUCUUUCUUAAGCUCAAUAGACGCAAGGAGCUCAGUCUCUUUGAUCAUUCUCGUGGCUCUUCGCUGAGUCAGAGUCCCACUUUACAGAUAGGAAAGCUGAUGCAGGGAGAGGGAACGCAGCACAACAGAAUGAGGAGUAGAAUUGCAGCCACCAGACAAGGGCUCCAGAACCUUUGUAGAAGUGGGUGGGCCACCGGUGCCAGAACCAGGGGGGCCAUGGAGUCACACCCCCACACACACUUUUUAACGUGGGCAUAGUUUGGGAGCCAGAGGGUGUCAUUGCCCCCCCAAACUGCAAGCCUCAGGCAGGUACAGAGCGGCGCCGGAGCUGAUCAGAGGAGUGAUGUUCUGGGACAGCCUUCCAAAGGGAGUAGUUGGGGUGAAAAACUUACCUUGUUUUAAGACUGAGCUUGAUAAGUUUACAGAGGGGAUGGGAUGAUGAGGUUGCCUACAAUGGCCUAUGGCCCACCUGCGACUCCUAACGGCUGGCGGUGGGACGCUGGCUGGGGAGGGCUCUGAGUUACUGCAGAGAAUUCUUUCCCAGGUGUCUGACUGGUGGGUCUCACUGACAUGCUCAGGGUCUAACUGGUCCCCAGAUUUGGGGUCAAGAAGGAAUUUCCCCCCAGCUCAGAUUGGCAGAGACCUUGGAGGUGUUUUGCCUCCUUCUCCAGUGUGUAUCAUGGGUCACUUACUGGUUUGAACUAGAAUAAAUGGUGAAUUCUCUGUAACUUGAAAUCUUUAAACCUUGGUUUGAGGACGUCUGUAAUUUAGCCAGAGGUUGGGGGUCUGUUAUUGGAAGUGGUGGGCGAGGUUCCAUGGCCUGUGGUGUGCAGGAGGUCAGACUAGAUGAUCAUGAUGGUCCUGUCUGGCCUUUAAGUUUGAGCCUCAGACCGGGCCAGUGUCUAGAUGAGUGACACUGGAAAGAAAGGAACCAUCCCAGGCUUGGCUCAAGUGAGGAAUUUUUCAGGCACCCUGUAGCCUGAGUGUCCAAGGCCAGGAGCCUCACACAAGCCAUAGAUACCCUUUACAGAGGACAGGACGAAUGUGUAGCCAACUGGCUGUGGGCAGUCAGGCCUAGUGGUGGAAGCAAGAGUUUGGCCUACUGGUUUAGAGAUGGGUCCAGGGUGGGCAAAGUCCAGGACACAAGCUGAGGGUCAUUACCAGAGGGAAAGAAGCAGAGGCCGGAGCUGGGAGUAAGCAGGAGCUGUAAGCCAUGGAUCGAAGCCAUGAGGGGAGCAAGGGCUGGAACGAGGGCAAGCGCGCGAUAGGUGCGGUACACGUUGAGCAGCUGCUGAGCUGCUGUCGGGGCUGGGCUUGUAAGCAGGGCUGCCACCCCAGCAGCCGCUCAGGGGCUGUGGCCAGGCUCUCGGUUCCCAGGCAGGGCAGCGGGGCUCACUGGCUGCCUAGCAGCACAGUUAGUCAGGGAGCUGGCCAGCAGUGGGUCCGACCUGGCCAGACGCCACACAGAAUGGCAGCAUGACAUGGGGCUGGAACUGGGGUGUUCCCAGCCUCUGGCGCAGGAUGGGCUGAGACUGGGGCCUCCAGCCCCACUCCCCACCCUGCCUAGCUGCACAGUGGGGGGCUGCUUUGCUAGUCAGGGGCAUUCUCAUCCUCUAUUAGAGGAGACCUAAAAGCAAGGCACUGCCCCCUCCCCCAAGCACUGCAAGUCACAGGGCACUUUGCACACAAGACAGGUGCUAAACCUGGUGUUCUGGCCAGCUGCCAAUGGAGAUAGGAAGGUGGAAAUGCAGCUAACGCAUCCCCCUCCCACACCAGCUCUCCAUGGGGAUAUGGAUCCUGCCCUUCCUGGCCUAUGCUGCUGUCUGGUGUUGCUGUGCUGUGUUAACCAGCUGCCUUGGUCUACUCUCCAGGUGGCUGCAUUUCAGGAACAGUGUUAGGAUAUAGAUAUUCAGGUCUGUCUGUAAAGGCCUAUACUCUAAGAAUUUAGGUGUAUUCUUAUCACCUGGCUAGUUAUAGAGGUACAAAAGAAAGAAUCAAAAUCACUGUCUGCCGGUGUAAGGGCCUUCUCUUACUGUGACAAUUUGAGGCCCUGUGCUUAGGCUAAGGCCUUUGGCUAAGCAGCAGAGGCAGCCAUAAGCUAGGAAGCGACCGGUCACCUCCUCACAUUCCAAACUAGUCACAUUGAAAUAAGGUGCUAUUGGGCUGUUAGGCACUAUCAGGACAGGAUUGUAUCCUAUCAUCUCCAGAGAAAGGGAAGUGCCUAGAAAAUGUAAAAGGAAACUUAGUUUGAUAGCAUCCUGUCUGGCAAGAACUCACUUAUCAAUAGCUGGGAUGUGAAAUCCUCACUUCUGUAUUGUUUUGUCAUUAUAGUUCCUACUUUGCUAUUGUUUGUCUGUAUAAUCUCUGUCUGGUUCUGUGAUUGUUCCUGUCUGCUGUAUAAUUAAUUUUGCUGGGUGUAAACUAAUUAAAGUGGUGGGAUAUAAUUGGUUACAUAAUCAUGUUACAAUAUGUUAGGAUUGGUUAGUUAAAUUUCAGGAAAAUGAUUGGUUAAGGUAUAGUAAAGCAGAACUCAAGUUUUACUAUAUAGUCUGCAGUCAAUCAGGAAGUGAGGGGGGUGGGUGUGUGUGGGGAAAAUGGGAACAGGGAAUGGGAGUAAGGAAGUUGGAAUCAUGUUUGGCUAAGGGCAGGAAUGGGAACAAGGACACAGGUGUAAGGCUCUGUGGUGUCAGAGCUGGGAAGGAGGAUACUAAGGAAGGAAACUGGAAUCAUGCUUGCUGGAAGUUCACCCCAAUAAACAUCGAAUUGUUUGCACCUUUGGACUUCGGGUAUUGUUGCUCUCUGUUCAUGCGAGAAGGACCAGGGAAGUAAGUGGGUGAAGGAAUAAGCCCCCUA